GAAACACUAUCGUUCAGCACAAUCCCUGACGACAUCAAAAGCUCUGCAAAGUGUUUGGCAUCAAUACCUUUUUCAUUGUUCAUCUUGAAAUCAAUGCCGCUUUGGCGCAACAACUCAAUUGAAUCAUUCGCAAAAACAUCCUCGUUAGGGUUGAAUUCACGGAAAUUGAAUUGCCAAAUACAGUAUUUGUCGGUUCCACACUUAGGCAAGUUGCCAUUCUCAUCUGAAAAGGUCAGCCCUAACUGAAUCAACUUCAACAUAUCCACGUUAUCCUUGAGCGUUUGGUAAUGGUAAUCGUUGCUGUUCUUAAAAUUCCCGACCGGCCGGAUUACCACUCCGGGAAACUCCGUAUCCAUGGCAACAAACGGAAAAUCAUCGACUAUUUCACGCAUCAAUGCGAACUCUUCCUCCAGAUUGUCAAACCAAACCUCUCGAAUGUGGAUUGAAUCAGUUUUUGGCAAAAUCGACAUUUUCGCUUUUGCCAAAAAAAAGUACGUUCAAUCAAAUGAAAAAUCUAUCUUCACCAAUUCCGAUCAAGCAAAUGCUGAAUCGCCGGAAUGAAUACAAACGGAUCUCUUCGAAUCCCUCUAAUCAAAAUCAGAUCUUUCAAUAUGAAUAAAAAUUCAAACUUUCAACCAUGAAUGAUGAUUGAAACGGAUCCAACAACUCCGAAACAUUAAUCAGCAGAGAUAAAUCGACUUGAAAUAUUAGGGUUUGAACAGAAACCAAAUGAGGCGGCGAAGAAGGAUAAGAAUAUGAACUUUUAGGGCACAAUCAAAAAACUUUCUUUUUGUU
RNAcentral lists this unclassified non-coding RNA (795 nucleotides) under Hevea brasiliensis (rubber tree). The record is from RNAcentral. Lineage: Eukaryota; Viridiplantae; Streptophyta; Magnoliopsida; Malpighiales; Euphorbiaceae.